Molecule: ribosomal RNA, 473 nt
Filed under: Paenibacillus polymyxa
Lineage: Bacteria; Bacillati; Bacillota; Bacilli; Caryophanales; Paenibacillaceae
Description: bacterial SSU rRNA
Rfam family: Bacterial small subunit ribosomal RNA
Source: RNAcentral
UCCUGGCUCAGGACGAACGCUGGCGGCGUGCCUAAUACAUGCAAGUCGAGCGGGGUUAUGUAGAAGCUUGCUUCUACAUAACCUAGCGGCGGACGGGUGAGUAACACGUAGGCAACCUGCCCACAAGACAGGGAUAACUACCGGAAACGGUAGCUAAUACCCGAUACAUCCUUUUCCUGCAUGGGAGAAGGAGGAAAGACGGAGCAAUCUGUCACUUGUGGAUGGGCCUGCGGCGCAUUAGCUAGUUGGUGGGGUAAAGGCCUACCAAGGCGACGAUGCGUAGCCGACCUGAGAGGGUGAUCGGCCACACUGGGACUGAGACACGGCCCAGACUCCUACGGGAGGCAGCAGUAGGGAAUCUUCCGCAAUGGGCGAAAGCCUGACGGAGCAACGCCGCGUGAGUGAUGAAGGUUUUCGGAUUGUAAAGCUCUGUUGCCAGGGAAGAACGUCUUGUAGAGUAACUGCUACAAGAG